CAGGCUUAACACAUGCAAGUCGAGGGGCAGCAUGGUCUUAGCUUGCUAAGGCCGAUGGCGACCGGCGCACGGGCGAGUAACACGUAUCCAACCUGCCGUCUACUCUUGGACAGCCUUCUGAAAGGAAGAUUAAUACAAGAUGGCAUCAUGAGUCCGCAUGUUCACAUGAUUAAAGGUAUUCCGGUAGACGAUGGGGAUGCGUUCCAUUAGAUAGUAGGCGGGGUAACGGCCCACCUAGUCUUCGAUGGAUAGGGGUUCUGAGAGGAAGGUCCCCCACAUUGGAACUGAGACACGGUCCAAACUCCUACGGGAGGCAGCAGUGAGGAAUAUUGGUCAAUGGGCGAGAGCCUGAACCAGCCAAGUAGCGUGAAGGAUGACUGCCCUAUGGGUUGUAAACUUCUUUUAUAAAGGAAUAAAGUCGGGUAUGGAUACCCGUUUGCAUGUACUUUAUGAAUAAGGAUCGGCUAACUCCGUGCCAGCAGCCGCGGUAAUACGGAGGAUCCGAGCGUUAUCCGGAUUUAUUGGGUUUAAAGGGAGCGUAGAUGGAUGUUUAAGUCAGUUGUGAAAGUUUGCGGCUCAACCGUAAAAUUGCAGUUGAUACUGGAUAUCUUGAGUGCAGUUGAGGCAGGCGGAAUUCGUGGUGUAGCGGUGAAAUGCUUAGAUAUCACGAAGAACUCCGAUUGCGAAGGCAGCCUGCUAAGCUGCAACUGACAUUGAGGCUCGAAAGUGUGGGUAUCAAACAGGAUUAGAUACCCUGGUAGUCCACACGGUAAACGAUGAAUACUCGCUGUUUGCGAUAUACUGCAAGCGGCCAAGCGAAAGCGUUAAGUAUUCCACCUGGGGAGUACGCCGGCAACGGUGAAACUCAAAGGAGUUGACGGGGGCCCGCACAAGCGGAGGAACAUGUGGUUUAAUUCGAUGAUACGCGAGGAACCUUACCCGGGCUUAAAUUGCAGAUGAAUUACGGUGAAAGCCGUAAGCCGCAAGGCAUCUGUGAAGGUGCUGCAUGGUUGUCGUCAGCUCGUGCCGUGAGGUGUCGGCUUAAGUGCCAUAACGAGCGCAACCCUUGUUGUCAGUUACUAACAGGUUCCGCUGAGGACUCUGACAAGACUGCCAUCGUAAGAUGUGAGGAAGGUGGGGAUGACGUCAAAUCAGCACGGCCCUUACGUCCGGGGCUACACACGUGUUACAAUGGGGGGUACAGAGGGCCGCUACCACGCGAGUGGAUGCCAAUCCCCAAAACCUCUCUCAGUUCGGACUGGAGUCUGCAACCCGACUCCACGAAGCUGGAUUCGCUAGUAAUCGCGCAUCAGCCACGGCGCGGUGAAUACGUUCCCGGGCCUUGUACACACCGCCCGUCAAGCCAUGGGAGCCGGGGGUACCUGAAGUGCGUAACCGCGAGGAGCGCCCUAGGGUAAAACUGGUGACUGGGGC
Molecule: ribosomal RNA, 1434 nt
Filed under: uncultured organism
Description: 16S ribosomal RNA
Rfam family: Bacterial small subunit ribosomal RNA
Source: RNAcentral